AGCCAACUGCGAACAGGGGACGUUUGAAAAGGAGCAUUGUUCUGGGACAACGAAACGCGAUUUUCAGAAAAGAAGCUACUGGGACAUCACUUUCUCAGGGACGCAAGUUCUGUUUUACCUGUAAAAGAAGUCAACCCGGAAUCAGAAGAUCAUUACCGAGUGCCUUUGUCGACAGAAGUUCAUUUAGUUUGUUGAGGUCUCGUUUGACCUCUUCUCUGAGAAAAAAUUCUCAGAUUCUAAAUGCAACUGUUGGACCAGAUGAGCCACAUGCUGCUGGAACAGCCUGGCCAGAUGGCAUCGUUGCGGAGAGACAAGAUCUAGACUUAUUGCCCCCUGAGAUAGAUACUACAG
Molecule: non-coding RNA, 351 nt
Organism: Camelina sativa (false flax)
Lineage: Eukaryota; Viridiplantae; Streptophyta; Magnoliopsida; Brassicales; Brassicaceae
Source: RefSeq, a predicted model, not a curated record